UAUUUGACCCAAAAUUUGUGGAAAUUGAAAGCUAGAGAGGCCAUUAAGUCAUUUCUAUAACAUCCUCACAUUUUCUUGAGAGUAAGGGAGAAAUCCAAUUAUCAAAACAAUGCAAAAGGAGAGCGAAGCUUGUUUGCGAUCGAUGUGGGAUGUUGCUGUUGUUCAUUGUUUUGUUGAUAUUGUUGAUGUUGUAUGCUACUAGUGUUACGGAGAAGAGAGGGUUAUUACGUGGAUUCAUAUGAUAUUAAUGAGUAAUAUAUAUAUGGUAUUAUAAUAA
RNAcentral lists this long non-coding RNA (277 nucleotides) under Capsicum annuum. RNAcentral's name for it is "long non-coding RNA (CANN_LNC011844)". Lineage: Eukaryota; Viridiplantae; Streptophyta; Magnoliopsida; Solanales; Solanaceae. The record is from RNAcentral.